UGCUUCCGGAAGGAGACAGACGGGCACCUGGAGUUCUGCACCCAAGAGGCCCCAAGUUCAGUUCGAAGGUGACUGUGUAAAGAUUAGGAAUCUGGACCAAACUCUCUAGGCUGACAUUGGAGAGGAGGAGAGGGGCAAGGGAGAAAGGAGGCGGUCCUGGACCAUGGAUGGGUGGAUGAGCAACUGUGAGCAGAUUUCCUGAUGGUUCACUGCAGUAACCAGAGGCUGCUCCUUAAAAGCUAUGGAAAGAGGGAGAGACUUCUGUAGGACCUGAGGAGGCAGUUGGUAUGGUGAAUGUUGGGACUCCUAGAAAUGACCACGGGAUGAUAGAGUUCAUCUGGUCUAACUCCUGUCACCCUUUAUUUUUACAGGCAUGUGUGAGAGAAGAUUGGAUUGUUUGAAGAAGGUAAAACUGGAAGAAGAAUCAACAAACUCACAGAGGUCAAAUGAGUAAAUUGCUGUAUUUUUUCUUUGGGGAUUGGUGUGGAAAGGAGGUGGUGCUGCUGUGGGAAGGGGCAGCGUAUUAUAAGGAUGGGUAUUUUCUUUUCACAUGUGCCUAGAUA
RNAcentral lists this long non-coding RNA (563 nucleotides) under Phascolarctos cinereus (koala). Its description in RNAcentral is "lncRNA (ENSPCIG00000015267.2)". The record is from RNAcentral. Lineage: Eukaryota; Metazoa; Chordata; Mammalia; Diprotodontia; Phascolarctidae.